CGUUACAUCUUUAAGCUGCCAAGACUUUGGCAGUGUCAUUUUAAACUGCCGAAGUAUACGAGUUGGAACACUCUUCCGACUGUUGGUAGAGCCUGUAAUUGUAAGUAUGUUCUUAAACUGUUGCUGUACCGAUAACAAGAAUCAGAUGCCACUGAUAGAGUCAAUCAGUGUAUUUAAAGUUUGCUCAAUUAAAUUACUGAAGUUAAUAUUUAAAAUUUCAGAUUUUCUUACGAGUAUAUAAAUAAUAACCCAUUAAAAACUGGUGGAUGUGUAGGUAGAACAUAAAUUCAAGCGGUAUUAGAUUUAUUGUAGGAACCUGUAAGAAUGUGUAUGACUCAUACUUACAGUUAAGUUCUGUCGUUUGUAUUUUAUUGUACAGUUUGGGUACACCUUGUCCAAAAUUUCAGAAUUCUCCGAAGUCUGAAACC
This 428-nucleotide long non-coding RNA is filed under the name Rattus norvegicus (Norway rat). RNAcentral describes it as "long non-coding RNA NONRATT027907". Lineage: Eukaryota; Metazoa; Chordata; Mammalia; Rodentia; Muridae. The record is from RNAcentral.